GACGAACGCUGGCGGCAUGCCUAACACAUGCAAGUCGAGCGAGUAGAUCCCUUCGGGGUGAAGCUAGCGGCGGACGGGUGAGUAACACGUGGGUAACCUGCCUCAUAGAGGGGAAUAGCCUUCCGAAAGGAAGAUUAAUACCGCAUAAGAUUGUAGUACCGCGUGGUAUAGCAAUUAAAGGAGCAAUCCGCUAUGAGAUGGGCCCGCGGCGCAUUAGCUAGUUGGUGAGGUAACGGCUCACCAAGGCGACGAUGCGUAGCCGACCUGAGAGGGUGAUCGGCCACAUUGGGACUGAGACACGGCCCAGACUCCUACGGGAGGCAGCAGUGGGGAAUAUUGCACAAUGGGGGAAACCCUGAUGCAGCAAUGCCGCGUGAGUGAUGACGGCCUUCGGGUUGUAAAGCUCUGUCUUCGGGGACGAUAAUGACGGUACCCGAGGAGGAAGCCACGGCUAACUACGUGCCAGCCGCCGCGGUAA
This 478-nucleotide ribosomal RNA is filed under the name uncultured bacterium. RNAcentral's name for it is "partial 16S ribosomal RNA". It matches the Rfam family "Bacterial small subunit ribosomal RNA", at positions 28 to 523 of the family's 1533-position model. The record is from RNAcentral.